This is a non-coding RNA of Arachis ipaensis, 248 nucleotides long. The record is from RefSeq and is a predicted model, not a curated record. NCBI's taxonomy places the organism in Eukaryota, Viridiplantae, Streptophyta, Magnoliopsida, Fabales, Fabaceae.
GUUAGUUGAAGAUUGUACUGAUGAUGACGAUGCAAAGGUUGGAAUCUCUGAGUUGAGGAAGGCGGUUUUAGAGGAGUUGAAGAUGCAUAAUUCACUGGUACAGGAGUGGGGAUUGGACCUUGCAAAAGAGAACAAUAUUAAUUCUGCAAUGGUAAAAUACACACAAUUCCUGUUAGCCACAACCUCUGGGAAGAUUGAAGGACUAAAAGGUGCUGGUAAACUCGCAACACCAUUUGAGAAAACAAAAA